This is a long non-coding RNA of Pistacia vera, 564 nucleotides long. RefSeq lists it as uncharacterized. The transcript is spliced from 4 exons. The record is from RefSeq and is a predicted model, not a curated record. NCBI's taxonomy places the organism in Eukaryota, Viridiplantae, Streptophyta, Magnoliopsida, Sapindales, Anacardiaceae.
AUGGAGUCUCUCAUUUGUAUAAAAGCAUAAAUGCAAGGACCAUGCAAACCACGUUACUUUGAGACUUUUCUUCAUGUUUCACUUCUUCUUCUACUUGUACACUGAAGAAAUACCAGAGUGCUAGAGCUUAAAGAGGUAGUCCAUUGUGUGGAGCAGUUAAGCAAUUGCUGUAGGAAUUGAGUGAUAAAGGAUGGGUUUUGAACCAUUGGAAUGGUACUGUAGGCCAGUGGCAAAUGGGUUUUGGGCAAAAGCAGUGGAUAGUGCUUUUGGUGCAUACACAACUUGUGCUGUUGAUUCUCUAGUCAUUUCCAUUUCUCAUUUGGUUCUUUUUGGCCUUUGCAUUUGUCGAAUAUGGCUUCUUAGAAAAAGUUCCAAAGCCAAAAGGUUUCUUUUGAGUUCGAAUUACUACAAUUAUAUUUUAGGACUGUUGGCUGGUUAUUGUACAGCUGAGCCUCUACUAAGAUUGGUCAUGGGUAUUUCUAUCUUUAACUUGGAUGGAGAUACUAGUCUUGCUCCCUUUGAGAUGGUUUCUUUGAUGAUUGAGGCUCUCGUUGGUGCCUGUGG